Molecule: ribosomal RNA, 253 nt
Filed under: uncultured Actinomycetales bacterium
Lineage: Bacteria; Bacillati; Actinomycetota; Actinomycetes; Actinomycetales
Description: partial 16S ribosomal RNA
Rfam family: Bacterial small subunit ribosomal RNA
Source: RNAcentral
UUUUCGGAGGUACUCGAGUGGCGAACGGGUGAGUAACACGUGGGUGAUCUGCCCUGCACUCUGGGAUAAGCCUGGGAAACUGGGUCUAAUACCGGAUAGGACCGCACCUUAGUGUGUGUGGUGGAAAGUUUUUUCGGUGUAGGAUGAGCCCGCGGCCUAUCAGCUUGUUGGUGGGGUAAUGGCCUACCAAGGCGGCGACGGGUAGCCGGACUGAGAGGUUGGUCGGCCACAUUGGGACUGAGAUACGGCCCAG